RNAcentral lists this small RNA (1288 nucleotides) under Pongo abelii (Sumatran orangutan). RNAcentral's name for it is "retained intron". Lineage: Eukaryota; Metazoa; Chordata; Mammalia; Primates; Hominidae. The record is from RNAcentral.
AGACAGUGCAGCCACCUCUGAGAGCCUGGAUGUGAUGGCGUCACAGAAGAGACCCUCCCAGAGGCACGGAUCCAAGUACCUGGCCACAGCAAGUACCAUGGACCAUGCCAGGCAUGGCUUCCUCCCAAGGCACAGAGACACGGGCAUCCUUGACUCCAUUGGGCGCUUCUUUGGCGGUGACAGGGGUGCGCCCAAGCGGGGCUCUGGCAAGGACUCACACCAUGCAGCAAGAACUGCUCACUACGGCUCCCUGCCCCAGAAGUCACACGGCCGGACCCAAGAUGAAAACCCCGUAGUCCACUUCUUCAAGAACAUUGUGACACCUCGCACACCACCCCCGUCGCAGGGAAAGGGGAGAGGACUGUCCCUGAGCAGAUUUAGCUGGGUAGGUGACGAACGCACUUCCAUCGGCUUCCUCUUCCGUCCCGGUCCUCACAGCCCCGCAACUUUUGUGUUCUCCUCUGUUUCGGUUGCUUCCCGGCGUCCUUUUCUCUCCUCUCAAGACCUCUCUGCCCACAGCUGGGAUCGGGCCGCCUUCUCUUCCACUGGGGAAAUGAAACGUGGCCUUCCCUUCCGGAAGGUCUGGUCUCUUGCUUCUGUGCCUGGGACCCAGCCCUGCAAGGCCAGACCCUCUUCUCCCAAAGGGUUCCCAGGAGACGUGACUGGUCUCCUUCCCAGGGAGGGAGCAACACCACGUCCGAGAAAAUGUUUAACUUCUUCCAACACAACCAGUGCGAGAAGCCCCAGGAACCCGCAUGUGGAAGAGGGACUGGCUGGCCCAUCUCAGUAACCCCAGAUGCUGACACUGGAAAAACGAUUCUGCUAAUGAACAGAAAAAGAGGCUAAAUAGAGUUGCUCGAUUUAUAAUAACCUCAUUAAUCCAAAGAUUUUUGUUUUGUAUUUAAUUAAAUAAUAAUUAAAACAUAGAUAUCAAGCCAUCCAGAAAAUCUUCUUAGGAAUUUUAGGCUGGUCAAUACUGAAAGCAAACUUUCAAGGAAGGUUUAAAAUGGCCAAUUUGAACUUUCUAGUGAAAAAUUUGGUGUCUGAGCCAAAUUAAAAUGCCAAUCAUUAUAUUCUAAACAAACUUAUAGACUUUAGUUACUAGCAAAUAUCAGAUAUGAUUUUUACUGUAUAAAGGUUAUAAUUUUAGAAUAAAAUGGAGGAAUAAUCAUCAACAUAUUGUAGAUAGGUUGUGUCUGUCUCUGAAACUGCAGUUCUCUCAUACGCUAGAACAGAGCCUACCUACACUUUCUGCUCAAUUAAUAAGCAUCAUAUAAAUGAAUGAAUA